AUUGAACGCUGGCGGCAGGCCUAACACAUGCAAGUCGAGCGGAUGAAGGGAGCUUGCUCCUGGAUUCAGCGGCGGACGGGCGAGUAAUGCCUAGGAAUCUGCCUGGCCGUGGGGGAUAACGUCCGGAAACGGGCGCUAAUACCGCAUCCGUCCAGAGGGUGAAAGUGGGGGAUCUUUGGACCUCACGCUAUCAGCUGAGCCUAGGUCGGAUUAGCUAGUUGGUGGGGUAAAGGCCUACCAAGGCGACGAUCCGUAACUGGUCUGAGAGGAUGAUCAGUCACACUGGAACUGAGACACGGUCCAAACUCCUACGGGAGGCAGCAGUGGGGAAUCUUGGACAAUGGGCGAAAGCCUGAUCCAGCCAUGCCGCGUGUGUGAAGAAGGUCUUCGGAUUGUAAAGCACUUUUAGUUGGGAGGAAGGGCAGUGAGUUAAUACCUUGCUGUUUUGACGUUACCAACAGAAUAAGCACCGGCUAACUUCGUG
RNAcentral lists this ribosomal RNA (484 nucleotides) under uncultured bacterium. RNAcentral describes it as "partial 16S ribosomal RNA". It matches the Rfam family "Bacterial small subunit ribosomal RNA", at positions 30 to 507 of the family's 1533-position model. The record is from RNAcentral.